GCCGAUGUAGCUCAAUGGCAGAGCAGCCGAUUUGUAAUCGGCAGGUUGGAGGUUCAACUCCUCUCAUCGGCU
This 72-nucleotide transfer RNA is filed under the name Candidatus Tectimicrobiota bacterium. Its description in RNAcentral is "tRNA-Thr". It matches the Rfam family "tRNA". Rfam says of the family: Transfer RNA (tRNA) molecules are approximately 80 nucleotides in length. Their secondary structure includes four short double-helical elements and three loops (D, anti-codon, and T loops). Further hydrogen bonds mediate the characteristic L-shaped molecular structure. tRNAs have two regions of fundamental functional importance: the anti-codon, which is responsible for specific mRNA codon recognition, and the 3' end, to which the tRNAs corresponding amino acid is attached (by aminoacyl-tRNA synthetases). tRNAs cope with the degeneracy of the genetic code in two manners: having more than one tRNA (with a specific anti-codon) for a particular amino acid; and 'wobble' base-pairing, i.e. permitting non-standard base-pairing at the 3rd anti-codon position. The record is from RNAcentral. Lineage: Bacteria; Pseudomonadati; Candidatus Tectimicrobiota. RNAcentral also lists the same sequence under 2 other names.